GCUCAGAUUGAACGCUGGCGGCAGGCCUAACACAUGCAAGUCGAGCGGUAGCACAGGAGAGCUUGCUCUCUGGGUGACGAGCGGCGGACGGGUGAGUAAUGUCUGGGAAACUGCCUGAUGGAGGGGGAUAACUACUGGAAACGGUAGCUAAUACCGCAUGACCUCGCAAGAGCAAAGUGGGGGACCUUCGGGCCUCACGCCAUCGGAUGUGCCCAGAUGGGAUUAGCUAGUAGGUGGGGUAAUGGCUCACCUAGGCGACGAUCCCUAGCU
This 270-nucleotide ribosomal RNA is filed under the name Pectobacterium polaris. RNAcentral's name for it is "partial 16S ribosomal RNA". It matches the Rfam family "Bacterial small subunit ribosomal RNA", at positions 22 to 288 of the family's 1533-position model. The record is from RNAcentral. Lineage: Bacteria; Pseudomonadati; Pseudomonadota; Gammaproteobacteria; Enterobacterales; Pectobacteriaceae.